This 444-nucleotide ribosomal RNA is filed under the name Triticum aestivum (bread wheat). Its description in RNAcentral is "partial small subunit ribosomal RNA". The record is from RNAcentral. Lineage: Eukaryota; Viridiplantae; Streptophyta; Magnoliopsida; Poales; Poaceae.
AUGGCGACCAAGAGGAGCGUGGGCACCCUGGGCGACAAGGACCUCAGGGGGAAGAAGGUGUUCCUUCGUGCCGAUCUGAACAUUCUACUGGACGACAGCCAGAACAUCACCGACGAAAAUUGCAUCCGUGCCUCCGUGUUGUCCAUCAAGUUCCUCAUGGAGAAGGGUGCCAAGGCCAUCCUGGCCAACCAUCUGGUGAGCACGCGCUUCUCGAUUUGUGUCUAUGGCAUUUUACUGACGAAUUUGUGCCGCUUGAGCUUAGAGUGUCAGAUGGGGGACUUGAUGUCAGUCUUCUGUUCAUCCACUAAUCUCUUGGGAGUUAAGGGAAGAAGAAAGAAAAUACUUUCAGCUAAUAGUUGUAUGUUCCGUAGCCUGUUAGCAUUGUGCUUAAAAAUCAUAGUAACAAAAAUAGUGAGGAUUAACUUAGAAUUGCAUUUUCUUUGA